Molecule: ribosomal RNA, 720 nt
Filed under: uncultured bacterium
Lineage: Bacteria
Description: bacterial SSU rRNA
Rfam family: Bacterial small subunit ribosomal RNA
Source: RNAcentral
AGGCCUGCGGGUUGUAAAGCACUUYYWGURGAGAAGAAAAGCCUAGGGUUAAUACCCCUGAGUCYYSACGUAACCUACAGAAGAAGCACCGGCUAACUCCGUGCCAGCAGCUGCGGUAAUACGGAGGGUGCAAGCAUUAAUCGGAUUUAUUGGGCGUAAAGGGGGCGCAGGCGGAAAUGUAAGCCAGACGUGAAAUCCCGGGGCUCAACCCCGGAACUGCWUUUGGAACUACAUUUCUAGAGGAUAGGCGGAGAAAACGGAAUUCCACAUGUAGCGGUGAAAUGCGUAGAUAUGUGGAAGAACACCGGUGGCGAAGGCGGUUUUCUAGCUUAUACCUGACGCUGAGGCCCGAAAGCUAGGGGAGCGAACAGGAUUAGAUACCCUGGUAGUCCUAGCCGUAAACGAUGUAUACUUGGUGUAGCCGGACUCAACCCUGGCUGUGCCGUAGCUAACGUGUUAAGUAUACCGCCUGGGGAGUACGCUCGCAAGGGUGAAACUCAAAAGAAUUGACGGGGACCCGCACAAGCAGUGGAGCAUGUGGUUUAAUUCGAUGCAACGCGAAGAACCUUACCUAGGCUUGACAUACAGUGGACCGCUUCAGAGAUGAAGUUUUCCUUCGGGACCGCUGUACAGGUGCUGCAUGGCUGUCGUCAGCUCGUGCCGUGAGGUGUUGGGUUAAGUCCCGCAACGAGCGCAACCCUUAUCGUUAGUUGCCAGCAU